RNA transcript from Daphnia pulex (common water flea), 4702 nucleotides. RefSeq lists it as uncharacterized. The record is from RefSeq and is a predicted model, not a curated record. Lineage: Eukaryota; Metazoa; Arthropoda; Branchiopoda; Diplostraca; Daphniidae. The transcript has 8 exons.
AUUGUUCACUUGUAUGGCGCUCGAAGUGGUUGUGUUCAACCUGGUGUUACUAUGGUUGUUUCGAUUAAUUUGCAUUAACUAGUUCAAGUGAAUAUUGAACUGCCUUAAUUAUUUUUCAACUAUUGAAAUGCUUUCUCUUAACUGUGGCAUUUGGCAAGAGAUAAAUCUAGAACAUGAAAUGUCGAAAGUGACUCAUCGUUCAGAGUAAAAGUGAUCGUUAUUUUACUUCUGAUUAGUGAAGGGUUUAACUAAUGAACAAGGGAAUCAUCUCAUAAAUCUUAUUUAUCCAUCAAGAUCUUCUGUGCAUUCAGUUUAUGAUCCAUGUUUCCCAAACAGUUGACGUGUUUCAGCCAUUUGUUAGCAUGUUGCUGCUGAUCAAGUGAAAGUGAUUCAUGCUAAUCAGUGAACACGUGUGCAAUGUCUCAAUCAAAUUCAACCAACAAGCUUUCUCCUUGAAUAACUAGCAAUUGUUCGUUUGAGUGCAACUUACAGAGUUGAGUGUUUCACUUUUGUACUGAAUGUUUCAGUACGUCAGAUUGAUCCUCAAAUGGAAACCAUUACAGAAUAAAUGGGAUAUAAUAUCAGGAUUACACUUUUGUAUUUGGAGGAAGUUCUUGCAGGCUGCUUUUUUACUCGUUGGCAUUGGACUUCAACCACAAACUGCUAUCAGGAAUUCGAUAUCAUUUACAAAAGAACAACAGCUCUCACAACCAGACCUUUGGCUACGAGUAGACGAACUAAAAUUGCUCGGCUUUGAAACGAAGUAGUUAACUGUUCGUAAAGUGCCAGCGGCAAACGGACCUAACGCACCAAAGAGUGCGUAGCCCUUCAUAACGCUCGAGUCUUCUUCCUUCACCGCCGCGAGUCAUUAAUUCUCAUUAACUUUAAUGGCACGUAUAUAUUUUUCGUCUACGAUUUUUUAUUCUAAAUAUCCGAAAUUUUUUUUCUUGCGAGUUGCAAAAUAAUUUUUCUAUUUGUUAUUCGUGUCAAACCCGGCAUCAAUGUUAGUGAGAUUAGUAGAAGAUGAUUUUUCUUUUAAAAUAAUAAGUUUUUCACGAAUGAAUGAACCUAAUGUGGGUGGAAGUUGGUUUCUCAUUCGAGUGGAACUUAUUACCUUUUUGACACCUUCCGUAACAAUUUCCAAUCGAGUCAGAGCAGUGUAGGCGAGUGAAGGUCAGCUAUUGUUUCCUAAUCAUUAUUUCCUGUUCCCGUCGAUUACUUUUCUCAUAGUGUUUCACAAUUUCCUCUUUUUUUUAACGUGAAAAAAGAAAAGCAAGAGUAAAAUACUGCGUUCUUCAACGGACCAUUGAACGGUACCCUAGUGUGCGGGUCGCUGAGUGUGACGUGAAAUUAGAAGGAAAAUACCAUAUGGCGUCUAAAAGUUAUCAUCUUGGAAGACGGAAAAAGAUUUUUAUUUGUACGCAGUUUUAUCUCGCAAGUGAGCCGCGAUGUGUUUUUUAAAUCUCGGAAAAGUCUUGCCCUUUUUAAUCUGCCAUCUGUUAUUCUUAAAAUCUCAGAGCAUUUCCAUCGAAUGUUGUGUCAGACGCGGCAUUUUGCAGAGAUGUGUCUGACUGUCCUUCUAUUCAAAUUCUUUCGCCGUUUAUUAUUUCUCUCUAAUAAGAUGGACAAUCGGGGCCGUGACUGUAUAGUAGAUGGCCCGUGGCCGUGCUGUCACAGCCGUUUUUGCAAUCGAUGUUAGAGUGAAAUAAGUUUGCGACAAUGCAUUGUUAUUAACCAUAACAUUUCUAACACAUUUAUGGUUUCUCCUUACACGCCUUUAAGUUGCUUGCGGCAAUUUCAAGUUCUAUAUACCAAUCUACUCAAAAACAACUCAAUCCUUGGACAUGAAGUACUGUACAGCAGAUCAUUAGUUAGAUCAACAGAACAUCUGGCGUUCUUCAAUUCAAAUGUGAGACACCUAGUGGAAAAACUACGUACUUCUAAUUGGAAUUAUUUAUCCGUUUGUUUGCUUCGUUUUCGCGUGUCAUGUGAUCUGUGAUGGGCGAACUGUAGGUAGGUGAUUUACCGAGGAAUUUUACAUUUCAAGUAUCGUACAUUUAAUGUUUCAACCUUCUAUACAGUGGUGUGUGAUUAUAGAAUUUGUACUCACUGACUCCAGAGCUUGCAAAACUACGCUCUUGUUACUCCGAUUUUUUUUUCUAUAACUAUGAACAUGAAGUAUUGUUACUUCAUGAGUAUGAUAUGAUCCACUCUUGCAUGACAGAGGAUUAAUUAUUAAAAUCUAGCCUGCCAAAGAUCUAAUUGAAUUCCCUCCUAGUGAGGUGUGCUUGAUAUAUGUGAGUUAGCUAAACCAACUGCAACUAGGUCAUGUAUUUCUGCUUUUUAAAAGCAGUUGUUUAUGUUGCUUGUUGUUUGUUGCUAUUGUUCAAUUUCAGGAGAUUAUUCAUUUCAAUUAGUGCAACAUUUGAUCGAAAGAAAGGGUCCACAAAAAGCGUGAAUCUUUAAGAUAUACAGCUGUGGUGCCAACUGCCAGGUAUGUGUUGCAUUCCAAAGUCUAUGCUGUCAGUCACUCGUAUACCUUGUCAAUAUUGGCUGUGUGACCUGUGUCACAGUGUCAGUGAGUUGUCUGAAAAAAAUCGAUGAUAACAAAACAAGGGAAAUCCUAGUGAACAGCUUACCAUACGUACAUAUUUUUUUAAAGAAAAUUUCAAAAUUUUAUUUUAUUAACUAACUAAGAUUUUGUCUUGUAGGGUGAAAUAGUUUUGAUUACUUUUUGUUAAUUUAGAUUUUUCUUUAGAUUUUGCAUUUAGACUGAAUGAGAGCCAUCCGCUUAAGUUCAAGGAAAAAGACAUGGCCAACACCACCAACACGGUCAACAAAGUUCUUUGUUUGUUAACCUGUUGGCUGCUACCACUUCAAUCCCCACUCCUAUAUCCUUGGAAUGGACCCACUCUUAUUUUGAGGUUAAUCCUGCGCCUCUAUUCCAUGGACGGAAUUCAUUGGUGGAAACUAACCAGAGAUCAGUGAGAGAGAGAGACUGACGAACGUGCUGACAUUUAGCAAUAAAGCUCACAUGCGUGCCAUCCUUCCGUCGCUUCGAGGCAUGGUUGUGCCUGCUCCAGCGUAAUUCGACUACCCAACCGAUGGCUUGUCAACUCACCCCUCGCUCACAACUCGUACACCCUUGCUCUCGUCUCUCAACACAGCACGGGGUUUGAUCUUUAAAUCGUUUAGAUCUGUUAGUGAUCUGUGAUGGUGGUAUCUUGAGGACGAUGAUGAUGUUCCUUAAUUAGUCAAUUUGCAUGACAGACUUGUUGAGAAUAAUGUCCUUUCAAGAAAGACAACAAAUUCCCAUGUUUGCUAACCCAAUGGCUGCUACCCUUGAAUCUCCCUUUUUAAUUCCUUAAAUGGGCUCUCUUGAUUUGAGGGUAAUCCCGUGCUACUUAUCGUGGACUUCAUCGAUUGCUGAACACCGACAAGAGCAUGCUGUCAUUCAAAACUGAUAAAUUGUGUAGUUAUUUACAACUGCAUAUCUGGGCUCCCUUCUUCAGUGGCCCCUUUUCCCUAAAUAACCACUAACCAACGCCCGCCGGUGGUCACUCACUCGCUGCGACAACUAGGAGGAAGGGAGAUGUUUGGUCGAACGGGAACUUGCAAGGCGCAUUAUUCGAUGAAAUCUGUUGGAGGGUCAUGAGUCUAAGCCGGAAGUCUACUAUGAUGCAUUGCUCUCUUAAAAACUGUUCCUCUCUGGCUCUCUUCGCUCUUUUUCCGGUUUCUCUUAACCACUGCCGGGUAAUCUCCCUGGUAGAGUCAGUCGGGCAGUGUCUCCCCCUGCUUGACUGGCUGCAGUUUGAACCGGACGGUCUGUUAAAAUAAGAAUUUAAAUCUAGAACAACGCCUCCUUUGAGCGGCCCAGACAAUCCUGAAUCCUUUAGGGUUGCCAUUCCAUCGAGGCUUAAACGAGGAUGACGCGGAGGUGUUGCCCAUUGGAAGUUUUGGUGACAAGGAGUGACUGAACAAAACGCUAAACCAAAUGAAAAAAAAAAAUAUUAAAAAAGCCAACGAUCCUUUAUAUAUCCUAGCCGAGUCCUUUCCGUCUACAUUCGGUGUGAAGAGCAAAACCUAAAUUUCAACACAUUUUACUGCUUAGCAACGAAAAAAAAAGCGAGUGUCAAAACAUUGUUUUACUUGCUCAUACAUAAUUGUGGCAGAAACGCGUUGGUCAUGUAACGGUAAAUUUUUUUCUCUUUUGUUGGUGCAGCAUCAAACGACACGCGAUAGGUUCCGGUGGUCAUCAACUAUUCAAGAUGGUAGACCUGUCAAUGUAAAAGACAGGGUAAGGUUAGCUCCUGUAAAUGUUAUUCAUUUUUGUUAAAUAGCUGCUAGUAGGAACUCAUUGUUGAUUUGCGGUUACAAAAUCCAUAGGCCUAGAGUUCAGGUAUUGUCAAUCAAUCAUUCGAUUUGCGUGUUAGAUACUCCAAAAUCAGUUGUGGAAAUACGAUUUUUUCCCCCCGCUUCUCCUGAAUGGUUACUUAGGAUCAUUUAAGUUAUUUUUUGAGUUAAGCGUUGUGAACGUAGCGGACGAACUCUGACAGUCUAUCGAGGAUAGGUGCAAGGGUCAUGUGUUUGAAACUUAGAUAAGGUUACAGUAGAAUAUUUUCAGAAAAGCCGAUUGCUGUUCAAACGGUUCGAAAUUGAAGAUUUAUUCAUUCACUGAAGAAAUGAGUCAAAUGACUCAUUU